ACUACGUUGUUCGCCGGUCAAACAUCUUUUUGAUCGUUGAGCAAGCGCCGGUCGCUUACCGAUGCCUGUCAGUUUAAACGAUUAAAUAUAUUCCUUUUUGUAAGUAUAUUCGUUGAAUAUACGUCAUCUACUUUGUAAAACUUAUUUAAGAGGUUCGAGUUACCAAGCCUCUUUGUAUCGAAACCGUGCCUCUUGCAAUAUAAGUCAUAUAUUGCCUUAUUUCUACAUAUUUAAACACUCCUGAGGGAGUGUUUAUUUUUCUUUAAUUUUAUAUAUACUUUGUAUAUUGCAUUACAAAGUAAUAUAAUAUUUUUCGGUGAACUCAACCUAGGAAUUGUGGCUGAUUUGGGGCUGUUGGAGGCUCCGCUGUUUUGUGAAGGAGAGGCUGCUUGUCCUGUGGCCUGCUGUUACUGCUGGUGCUUUUUGCUGCUUCGCACUGCUUUUAUUUAUUUGUUCACUCAUUGUGACAAUGCGUUCGGGGUUUGCACUA
This is a long non-coding RNA of Nymphalis io (European peacock), 490 nucleotides long. RefSeq lists it as uncharacterized. The record is from RefSeq and is a predicted model, not a curated record. The transcript is spliced from 3 exons. Lineage: Eukaryota; Metazoa; Arthropoda; Insecta; Lepidoptera; Nymphalidae.